UACAGAGGCCUCGAGCGUUAGGCGGAAUCACUGGGCUUAAAGCGUGUGUAGGCGGAUUGGUAAGUACCUUGUGAAAUCCCACAGCUUAACUGUGGAACUGCUCGGGAUACUGCUGAUCUUGAGCCACUCAGGGGCUACCGGAACAAAUGGUGGAGCGGUGAAAUGCGUAGAUAUCAUUUGGAACGCCAAUGGUGAAAACAGGUAGCUGGGGGUGUGCUGACGCUGAGACACGAAAGCCAGGGGAGCAAACGGG
Molecule: ribosomal RNA, 253 nt
Filed under: uncultured bacterium
Lineage: Bacteria
Description: partial 16S ribosomal RNA
Rfam family: Bacterial small subunit ribosomal RNA
Source: RNAcentral